RNAcentral lists this long non-coding RNA (346 nucleotides) under Elaeis guineensis (African oil palm). RNAcentral's name for it is "long non-coding RNA (EGUI_LNC082012)". Lineage: Eukaryota; Viridiplantae; Streptophyta; Magnoliopsida; Arecales; Arecaceae. The record is from RNAcentral.
CUGGCAAGUCACGACAACGGACGCUGCUCCACCCCUCAUAACAGAUUCCACAUGGCGGGCCGCGGUGAUGGCCACGUGUCUGCUCCACCAUCUUCCGUAAUCAAUUCCCCCUGACCAUGGGCGGCCCACUACCAGGCGGUUACAAACGUCGCCAUCAAUCCGUUGCCUCCUCCGCCUAUAAAAGGGAGACCCAGAUACGUUAUUCUUUAAGCUCAUUUUUCUUAUCUCAAAACUGUGCUAAAUUCUCCGUUCGAGCACUCCAUUCUUGUUGAGGCAGAGAACUGACUUGAGCGUCGGAGGAUCUUGCCGGAGCAACCCCACCUCCGGUUUAGACUUCCCUUGCAGG